UGGGGAAUAUUGCACAAUGGGCGCAAGCCUGAUGCAGCCAUGCCGCGUGUAUGAAGAAGGCCUUCGGGUUGUAAAGUACUUUCAGUCGGGAGGAAGGUGUCAAGGUUAAUAACCUUGGCAAUUGACGUUACCGACAGAAGAAGCACCGGCUAACUCCGUGCCAGCAGCCGCGGUAAUACGGAGGGUGCAAGCGUUAAUCGGAAUUACUGGGCGUAAAGCGCACGCAGGCGGUUGAUUGAGUCAGAUGUGAAAUCCCCGGGCUUAACCCGGGAAUUGCAUCUGAUACUGGCCAGCUAGAGUCUUGUAGAGGGGGGUAGAAUUCCAUGUGUAGCGGUGAAAUGCGUAGAGAUGUGGAGGAAUACCGGUGGCGAAGGCGGCCCCCUGGACAAAGACUGACGCUCAGGUGCGAAAGCGUGGGGAGCAAACAGG
Molecule: ribosomal RNA, 429 nt
Filed under: Chloroflexota bacterium
Lineage: Bacteria; Bacillati; Chloroflexota
Description: Chloroflexi bacterium partial 16S ribosomal RNA
Rfam family: Bacterial small subunit ribosomal RNA
Source: RNAcentral